AAGUCGUAACAAGGUUUCCGUAGGUGAACCUGCGGAAGGAUCAUUAACACGUAUCCAACGUUAAACCCCCCGUGAACCUUCAGAGCGUUCUUGCCGCCCGUGACAAUCAGCAAUCCUGGUAUAUCAAGUGGGAAUAUCCGUUAUUGAUUCAGGACCUCUGCUGUCAUGUGUUAGGGAAACCAUAGCGGCAAUUGAGAGCUUUUAUCGUUGGUUUGGCGUCCUGGCCGGGCGAGUGAAAGUGUCGCUAGACGGUUUCUAGGGUAAGGCUUCGCCAUCGCUGGAGGCUCACCACGUAGCCGGCGGACAAACUACAGGGCUAUAUGCCCCCUAAUGACGACCAAGUUAAAUAGGGCCUCUGUCACAUAGCAAGUGCGCCGUGCCAGAGGAAAAGUACAACUGUUAACAAUGGAUAUCUUGGUUCUC
Molecule: unclassified non-coding RNA, 423 nt
Filed under: fungal sp.
Lineage: Eukaryota; Fungi
Description: partial internal transcribed spacer region
Rfam family: Eukaryotic small subunit ribosomal RNA (bases 1-46)
Source: RNAcentral